GUUAAUAUGUGCACAUUUUAUAUGUUAAAUGAUUAUGAAGCUUGUCAGUCAGACUCGAUAACUUGGUGGUGUUUAAACAGGCUUAGACAAUGUAGUAACAUCUUGAAAUUUCAACAGGCUAAAGCUUACAACAUAGUGAAUACGUUACAUUAAGCAGUGGGUGAGUAUAUAUAUCUGCAUUUAGAUAAUUUUUGGCAGCUCUCUUUCAGUUUGAUAGAUAAUAGAUGGAAGGUAGCAAAGUUGUAGUUAUGCAACUACGUCUGUCAUAUUGCCUUACUUUAUCUGAUGAUAACAGUGGCUUAAUAUUUACGUAGCGUGUCAUCGCUAUACUAUCUAGACCUCGUCUUGGUUAUGCUGAAUAGUGUAUAAGUGAGAGGCAUAUCUUUAAUGUAGCAACUGCUGGAUCGAGUAGUCAUGACCCGUAGUAGGUAACACAGAAGGAUUGUGUUGCAGAUUAUGCUAGGGUGAGCAAUGCUGACUACCGGGG
Non-coding RNA from Pelobates cultripes (western spadefoot toad), 487 nucleotides. The record is from the annotation of a GenBank genome assembly. NCBI's taxonomy places the organism in Eukaryota, Metazoa, Chordata, Amphibia, Anura, Pelobatidae.